ACCCCCUUCGCACUUCCUAUAGUGACCUUUCUCCGUUGCUUCGUAUUUUCCAUUUCUCGCUUUAUUACAACUCUUUAACCCCAAUCAACACUUUACUCUCUCUCUCUCUCUCUCUCUUUCUGUUGCCCUCGUUUUCCCCCUUUUUCUUGCGAAAAUCUUCAACUUGUUUGACCAAAUUCACAAUCUUUUUCUUCCCUUGAUUAAUCGAAAACCUUUUUGAGUCUUUCACCAACCCUCCCCUCCCCAGUUCAUUUUUUAAGUGGAAGCUGAACUAGUCUUUUAGAUCGGAGCUACUUAGUUCCUUUGUGUAUGGUUUUGGAGCUGUGUUCAUGGCUGACACUAGGCGUUAUGGUCUUAACGCUCAAUUAGAUAUUGAGCAGAUACUAUUAGAAGCACAACAUAGAUGGCUACGCCCUGCUGAAAUUUGUGAAAUUCUUAAAAAUUACCAGAAUUUCCGGAUUGCUCCAGAGCCUCCAAACAGGCCUCCAAGUGGUUCAUUGUUUCUUUUUGAUCGGAAGGUUUUACGGUAUUUCCGCAAAGAUGGCCAUAUUUGGAGAAAGAAAAAAGAUGGAAAGACUGUGAAGGAGGCUCACGAGAGGCUCAAGGCUGGAAGCAUUGAUGUGUUACACUGCUACUAUGCCCAUGGAGAAGAAGACGAGAAUUUCCAAAGACGCAGCUAUUGGAUGCUCGAAGAGGAAAUGUCACAUAUUGUUCUUGUCCAUUACCGGGAAGUAAAGGGUAACAGGACAAACUUUAGCCGUAUCAGAGAACCUCAACAAGUUACUCCUGAUUUGCAAGAAACUGAUGAAGAUGUGCACAGCUCUGAGGUGGACAGUUCGGCGUCUACAAAAUUUUAUCCAAAUGAUUACCAAGUGAACUCACAAGUCACUGACACGACUAGCCUCAGCAGUGCGCAGGCCUCAGAAUAUGAGGAUGCUGAAUCAGUGUACAAUCAAUAUCCAACCUCUGGAUUUCACUCAUUCCUUGAUGCUCAGCCAAGUGCUGGAGAUGGACUUGCUGUACCUUAUCAUCCGAUUCCCUUCUCAGAUGAUCAAGUACAGUUUGCAGGAAGUUCUGGUAUGAAUUUCUCCUCGAUCCCACCAGGAAAUGGGAACAGAAACACAGCAAAUACGUAUAUACCCAGCAGGAACCUUGACUUCCCAUCAUGGGGGACUAUUUCAGUUAAUAAUCCUGCUGCAUAUCAGUCUCUCCAUUUUCAGCCUUCUGGCCAAUCAGGUGCAAAUAAUUUGAUGCAUGAACAAGGAAACACUACAAUGGGACAAGUAUUCUUAAAUGACUUUAAGAGACAGGAACAUGAGAACCAAGCUGAUGGUCUGGGGAACUGGCAGACUUCUGAAGUUGAUUCCUCAUUUAUAUCCAAGUGGUCCAUGGAUCAGAAGUUGAAUUCAGAUUUGGCAUCUGGUCAAACCAUUAGGUCUAGUGGUGUAUAUGGUGUAGAACAUCACAAUUCCUUGGAGGCUUCUCAGGUACUUCCUGCGCAGCAAAAUAAACACCCAAUGCAGAAUGAACUUCAAUCACAGCUAUCAGAUGCAAAUGUUGGAGCCUCUCUAAAUGCUGAUUUAGAUCACAAUCUAAGCAUAGGUGUGAAAACUGAUUAUUCAACUUUAAAACAACCUUUGUUAGAUGGCGUCUUGAAAAGAGAAGGUUUGAAGAAGCUUGAUAGCUUUGACCGGUGGAUAAGUAAGGAACUUGGAGAUGUAAGUGAGUCGCAUAUGCAACAAUCCAAUUCUAGUUCCUACUGGGAUAACGUUGGAGAUGAUGAUGGAGUCGAUAAUUCCACAAUUGCUUCCCAAGUGCAGUUAGACAACUAUGUGUUAAGUCCUUCACUCUCGCAGGAUCAAUUCUUUAGCAUUAUUGAUUUCUCACCAAACUGGGCAUUUUCUGGGUCAGAAAUUAAGGUCCUCAUCACUGGAAGGUUUUUGAAAUCCCAGCAAGAAGUGGAGAACUGUAGUUGGGCAUGCAUGUUUGGUGAGUUGGAAGUUCCAGCAGAAGUAAUAGCUGAUGGUGUUCUUCGCUGCCAUACUCCGGUUCAAAAGGCUGGAAGAGUUCCAUUCUACAUAACAUGCUCCAAUAGGUUGGCGUGUAGUGAGGUAAGAGAAUUCGAAUUUCGGGUCACUGAGGGCCAAGAUGUUGAUGUUGCAAAUCCAAAUAGUUGCAGCUCCAGUGAAAGUCUUCUUCAUAUGAGAUUCGGAAAAUUAUUAUCUCUGGAAUCCUUUGUUUCCGAAACUUCUCCACCUGUCAGUGAGGGUGAUGUUUCCCAUAUGUCCAGUAAAAUUAACUCAUUGCUAAGAGAGGAUGACAAUGAGUGGGAGGAAAUGUUUCACCUUACUAAUGAGAACAACUUUAUGGCAGAAAAAGUGAAAGACCAGCUCCUACAAAAGCUUCUAAAAGAGAAGUUGCGUGUUUGGCUCCUUCAAAAGGUUGCUGAAGGUGGGAAAGGCCCUAACAUACUGGAUGAAGGUGGUCAAGGAGUUCUACAUUUUGCAGCUGCUCUUGGUUAUGACUGGGCUGUACCACCUACUAUAGCUGCAGGCGUAAGCGUCAAUUUCCGAGAUGUGAAUGGGUGGACUGCACUCCAUUGGGCAGCAUCAUAUGGAAGAGAGCGGACAGUGGCUUUCCUCAUCUCCUUAGGUGCAGCUGCUGGAGCAUUGACAGAUCCUACUCCUAAACAUCCUUCAGGCAGAACACCUGCUGACCUAGCUUCCAGCAAUGGACAUAAAGGAAUUGCUGGUUAUUUAGCAGAGUCUUCCUUGAGCUCCCACCUUUCUUCUCUUGAGUUGAAGGAAAAGAAGCAGGGUGAGAAUGUACAAGCUUUUGGGGAAGCUGUUCAAACGGUUUCCGAAAGGACUGCUACACCAGCUUGGGAUGGUGACUGGCCACAUGGAGUCUCAUUGAAGGAUUCUCUAGCAGCUGUUCGUAAUGCUACUCAAGCAGCUGCUCGUAUUCAUCAGGUCUUCAGGGUGCAGUCAUUCCAGAGGAAGCAGCUAAAAGAAUACGGUGGCAGUGAAUUUGGACUAUCAGAUGAGCAUGCGCUCUCACUUCUCGCUAUGAAGACAAAUAGGGCUGGACAGCAUGAUGAGCCGGUGCACGCUGCUGCUGUGCGUAUACAAAAUAAAUUUCGCAGUUGGAAGGGAAGAAGAGACUUUCUUCUUAUCCGCCAACGAAUUAUUAAAAUUCAGGCUCAUGUAAGAGGACAUCAGGUAAGGAACAAAUACAAAAACAUAAUAUGGUCUGUGGGGAUCUUAGAGAAGGUGAUUUUGCGAUGGAGGCGGAAAGGAAGUGGAUUGCGUGGAUUUAAACCAGAAGCACCUACUGAAGGAAGCAACAGGCAAGACCAACCAGUGCAGGAGGAUGACUAUGAUUUCUUAAAAGAAGGCAGAAAGCAAACUGAGGAAAGGUUGCAGAAGGCUCUGGCGAGGGUAAAGUCAAUGGUUCAAUAUCCUGAGGCUAGGGACCAGUAUAGAAGGCUGCUGAAUGUUGUGUCCGACAUGCAAGAACCCAAUUCCUGCUUUUCAUGAUCUGCCCACCUUGAAUGAGAGAGAAGCUAUAAAAUUCCGGACUGUUGCUUCUUAAAACUAUGAACAUGGUCAUACCCUUAAUGGGAUCAAGGUCUUAUAAAUGUUUCAUGAUUUCCCAUCAACCAAUUCUAAAUUGAUACAUCCAGCAUUGUCAACCUUUCUUCGCAUGGCUCUACCUGGUAGAAUUGGCGUUUCACUUGAGUACUAAUGAUGGUGCACCCAGCAGCAACUCUGUGGAAGCAUCUGGUUUCAAUGAUGAUUUGAUCGAUCUGGAUGAUCUAUUGGAUGA
Molecule: RNA transcript, 3828 nt
Organism: Solanum dulcamara
Lineage: Eukaryota; Viridiplantae; Streptophyta; Magnoliopsida; Solanales; Solanaceae
Gene name: calmodulin-binding transcription activator 3-like
Exons: 14
Source: RefSeq, a predicted model, not a curated record